RNAcentral lists this long non-coding RNA (870 nucleotides) under Brachypodium distachyon (stiff brome). Its description in RNAcentral is "long non-coding RNA (BDIS_LNC001418)". Lineage: Eukaryota; Viridiplantae; Streptophyta; Magnoliopsida; Poales; Poaceae. The record is from RNAcentral.
GGUUAACAAGGUAAAGUUCGAGGGGUUGGGUAUAUCAUCAAAGCAUCUGUGUACUGGAAUCCACUUGGAUUAGACAUUCCGGAAGCACAAAAGAGCCCGCCUGCACCGAGUAUAUGUCCGAUGCGGCGCCUCCAACCAAAUUGCGCGCGGGUGCAUCUCCUUGUUUUGACCGGGAUAGAGUGCGAGCAUUGAUGUAGAUUCCGUAGCACUAAUCUAAAUCUAAAUUAGUUUUUUUUUUCCUUUGGUGAGAGGUGAGGAGGAUCGUGUCUUAAUCGGUGACUAUGAAAGACUGGAAGUAGCUACAGAAGGGAUAGAUCUGGUUACCAGGUUCCUAGUUAAUUUAUCAAGCAAUAUUCUCUCCCACUUCAGAGGACAACGUAAUCCAUGGAGUCCGCGGUUUCGUAUUAGGUCAUCCUUAAUGACAUCUAAAAAACCUGAUAAAAACCAGCGGAAAAUACACGUGGAUUUUUCUCACAAGAUUCGUUCAAUUGAGUCAUUCCUUGUUGGACACGGUCGUUGUGGUACAUGUGAUGUAUGGUGUGUGUAUACAUGUAUGUUUUUCCUUUUUUAUUUGGCGAUGGAAGCCUUACAGAAACAAAAGAAGAAGAAUAAAAAUUUCGCAAGUAUACUACAAUGACAACUACAAUGCAAUGAUCAGACCUGAUAAGUAAAUGCAAUUUUAUCACCCCUUCUCUUCAUGUUCUACCUCUUUGAUCCUUAUUCGGCCGUUUUAUUUUCAUAUCCUCCCUUUCUUAAUUUAUCCACCACCGCACUUGCUCGCUCUUGCCUCUUUUUGCUCCACCGACCGUUGACACGCUCACUAGAAUCACCACACAGCCACAUCUUGCCAAAUACCCGUAUCUCAUAACC